CUGCUGGGAGUUGGAAUGAGUACAAUUUAAAUCCCUUAACAAGGAACAAUUGGAGGACAAGUCUGGUGCCAGCACCCGCGGUAAUUCCAGCUCCAAUAGCGUAUAUUAAAUUUGUUGCAGUUAAAAAGCUCGUAGUCGAAUUACUGGGAUGUUCACUGGCUCGGUCUGCCGUAAGGUGUGUACUGGCUGGUGAUGCCCAUACUGCUAUGUGGCAUGGGCUGUCCUUAACUGGAUGGCCUAUCGCCGCAUGGCCUUUUACUUUGAAAAAAUCCGAGUGUUCAACGCAGGCGUAUUGCCUGAAGGGAUUAGCAUGGGAUAAUGGAAUAGGGCACUUGCUCUAGUUUCGUUGGUUUACUGGGUAAUGCAAUGAUUAAUAGGAAUUGUUGGGGGUAUUCAUAUUUAGUUGUCAGAGGUGAAAUUCUUGGAUUAACGAAAGAUGAACUACUGCGAAAGCAUUUAUCAAGGAUGUUUUCAUUGAUCAAGAACGAAAGUUUGGGGAUCGAAGACGAUCAGAUACCGUCGUAGUCCAAACUAUAAACGAUGCCGACAAGCUGUAAGGUGAUGUCGCAUGGAUGACUCCCUUUGGAACUUCAGAGAAAUCAAAAGUCUUUGGGUUCCGGGGGGAGUAUGGUCGCAAGGCUGAAACUUAAAGGAAUUGACGGAAGGGCACACCAGGAGUGGAGCCUGCGGCUUAAUUUGACCCAACACGGGAAAACUCACCGGGUCCGGACACAGUAAGGAUUGACAGACUGAGAGCUCUUUCUUGAUUCUGUGGGUGGUGGUGCAUGGCCGUUCUUAGUUGGUGGAGUGAUUUGUCUGGUUAAUUCCGUUAACGAACGAGAUCUCAACCUGUUAACUAGAGAAGCCCAUUGCCUGUACGGGUGAAGCUGGUUGAUGUGCGGGUGGGCCGCAAGGUCUGCUUGUGCUCGGCCAAGGGAUCCUUGGUGGAUGGGUGACGCUUCUUAGAGGGACUAUUGGGGGUAACCCAAUGGAAGUGAGCCAAUAACAGGUCUGUGAUGCCCUUAGAUGUCCCGGGCCGCACGCGCGCUACACUGUGGGGUGCAGAGAGUUCCACCUAAGGAGAAGUUCUCCGGGACUCUCUAAUCCCCUACGUGCUGGGGACAGACCUUUGUAACUAUCGGUCUCCAACGAGGAAUUCCUAGUAAGUACAGGUCAUUAGCCUGUGCUGACUACGUCCCUGCCCUUUGUACACACCGCCCGUCGCUCCUACCGAUUGAAUGAUCCGAUGAACCCUUUGGACUUGAGAUCCUUGGCGGCGGAAACGUUGCCUUACUCGGGGAAGUCGGGUGAAUCUUAUCAUUUAGAGGAAGGA
Molecule: ribosomal RNA, 1333 nt
Filed under: metagenome
Description: SSU rRNA
Rfam family: Eukaryotic small subunit ribosomal RNA
Source: RNAcentral